Unclassified non-coding RNA from Pongo abelii (Sumatran orangutan), 148 nucleotides. It matches the Rfam family "Metazoan signal recognition particle RNA". Rfam says of the family: The signal recognition particle (SRP) is a universally conserved ribonucleoprotein. Lineage: Eukaryota; Metazoa; Chordata; Mammalia; Primates; Hominidae. The record is from Ensembl.
GCUGGGCGUAGUGGCACAUGCCUGUAGUCUUAGCUACUCGGGAAGCUGAGGCAGGAGGAUCACUUGAGCCCAGGAGUUGGAGGCUUCAGUGAGCCACAAUCACACCACUGCCCUCCAACCUGGGCAACACAGUGAGACCUUGUCUCAA